This 213-nucleotide ribosomal RNA is filed under the name uncultured soil bacterium. Its description in RNAcentral is "partial 16S ribosomal RNA". It matches the Rfam family "Bacterial small subunit ribosomal RNA", at positions 26 to 240 of the family's 1533-position model. The record is from RNAcentral.
AGAUUGAACGCUGGCGGCAGGCCUAACACAUGCAAGUCGAGCGGUAGAGAGGUGCUUGCACCUCUUGAGAGCGGCGGACGGGUGAGUAAUGCCUAGGAAUCUGCCUAGUGGUGGGGGAUAAACGUUCGGAAACGGACGCUAAUACCGCAUACGUCCUACGGGAGAAAGCGGGGGACCUUCGGGCCUCGCGCCAUUAGAUGAGCCUAGGUCGGA